RNAcentral lists this long non-coding RNA (1838 nucleotides) under Homo sapiens (human). RNAcentral describes it as "HSALNT0397007". The record is from RNAcentral. Lineage: Eukaryota; Metazoa; Chordata; Mammalia; Primates; Hominidae.
ACAUCAUUUCUGAGCCCAUUGAGACUUGUAGUGAAAAACCAAGCAUCCCCUGAUAAAUAGGUAGUAGAAACAAACUACCUAUGAAAAUGCUUUUUGAUUUGUGGAUUUAUCUCACAGUGUUAAAUUUUUGAUUUGAUUCAACUGGUUGAAAACAUUCUUUAUGUAGAAUCUAUGAAGAGACGUUUUUGAGCUUAUCGAGAUGUAAGGUGAGAAACUGAAUAUCCCGCUAUGCAAAGUACAAACAAGCUCUCUGUGAAAAUGCUUUGUUAUAUGGGGAUUCUUCUCACUGAAUGGAUCUUGUGUUGUGAUUCACUGGGUUGGAAACACUUUUUUUUAGAAUCUAUGAAGGGACAUUUCCGAGGCCAUCGAGGCCUAUAGUGAACAACAGAAUAUUCUGUGAUAAAAACUAGAAACAACCUACCUGUGAAAACGAUUUGUGAUCUUUGGAUUCAUCUCACCACAUGGAACCUGUGUUUUGAUUCAGCUGGUUGGAAAAACUCUUUUUGUGGAAUCUACCAAAGGAUAUUUCUAAGCCCGUUGAGGCCUAUAUUAAAUUGAUUAUCUCAUGGUUGAAAGCAUUCUUUUUGUAGAAUCUAUGAAAAGACAUUUCUGAGCUUAUUCUGGUUUAUAGAGUAAAACCGAAUAUCCUGAAAUAAAAACUGGAAACUAGGUUGAAAACACAAUUUUUGAAGUAUCUAUGAUGGGACAUAUCGAAGCCCGUUGAGACUUAGUGAAAAACAGAAUAUCCCCUGACAAAAAUUAGAAACAAGCUUUCUGUGAAAAUGUUUUUUGAUGUCUGUAUUUAUCUCACUGAAUGAAAAAUGCAUUUUGAUUCAAGAUGCUGGAAACACUAUUUUUGUAGAAUCUAUGAAGGGAUAUUUCUGAACUCAUUGAAGUCUACAGUGACAAACCGACUAUCCAAUGAUAAAAACUAGAAAUACGCUGUGAAAAAGUUUUAUGAUGUGUGGAUUCUUCUCACUGAAUUAAACCUGCAUUGUAAAUCAUCAGGACUGAAACCUUCUAUUUGUAGAAUCUAUGAAGGAACAUUUAUGAGCCCAUCGAGGCCUGUAUUGAAAAACAAAGGAUCCUGUGGUAAAAACUAGAAACAACCUAAAUAUGGAAAUGCUUUGAGAAAUGUGAUUCAUCUCACAGAGAUGAAUCUUUGUAUUGAUUCAUCAGGUUGGAAACUCUCUUUUUGUGGAAAAUAAAAGGUCUAAAAAGAGACAUAUCUGAGCCCAUUGUGGCCUACAGUGAAAAACUGAAUUUCUUGAACAAACGCUGGAAACCAGCUAUGUGUGAAAAUGCUUUGUGAUGUGUGGGUUUAUCUCACAAAGUUAAACCAUUGUUUUGAUUCAACAUGUUGGAAACACUCUCUCUGUAGAAUCUAUGAAAAAACAUUUCUGAGCUCAUUGAGAAGUAUAGUGAAAAACCACAUAUCCUGAAAUAGAAACUAGAAACAAGAUACGUGUGGAAUGUUUGUGAUGUGUGGAUUCAUCUCACCAAAUGGAACCUGUAUUUUGAUUCACCCAGUUGGAAACACACUUUUUGUAGAAUCUACGAAGGGACAUUUCAGAGCCCAUUGAGGCCUAUUGUGAAAAAUCAAUUAUCCCAUGGUAAAAACUUGAAACAACCUAUCUGUGAAAAUACUUUGUGAUGUAUAGAUUCAUCUCACAAAGUUAAACCAUUGUUUUUAUUCAACACAUUGGAAACACUAUUUUUUAGAAUCUACAAAUAGAAAUUUCUUAGCUUUUUGAGACCUAUAGUAAGAAACUAAUAUCCCACAAUAAAAACUAGAGACAAGCUGUAUGUGAAAAUGUUUUGUGAUGUGUGCAUUCAUC